UACGGAGGGUGCAAGCGUUAAUCGGAAUCACUGGGCGUAAAGCGCGCGUAGGUGGCUAUUUAAGUCAGAUGUGAAAGCCCUGGGCUCAACCUGGGAAUGGCAUUUGAUACUGGAUAGCUAGAGUAUGGUAGAGGUGAGUGGAAUUUCAGGUGUAGCGGUGAAAUGCGUAGAUAUGUGGAGGAAUACCAGUGGCGAAGGCGGCCUCCUGGCUUAAUACUGACGCUGAGGUGCGAAAGCGUGGGGAGCAAACAGG
This 253-nucleotide ribosomal RNA is filed under the name uncultured bacterium. Its description in RNAcentral is "partial 16S ribosomal RNA". It matches the Rfam family "Bacterial small subunit ribosomal RNA", at positions 524 to 776 of the family's 1533-position model. The record is from RNAcentral.